GCGGGGCUAAAUGGGGCCGAGGCCGGGCGGGGUGGGGGUUCCCCGCGCCGCAGCCAUGGAGCAGCCUCGCGCCGCCGCCCGUCUGCAGAUCGUGCUGGGCCACCUCGGCCGCCCCUCGGCCGGGGCCGUAGUAGCUCAUCCCACUUCAGGGACUAUUUCCUCUGCCAGUUUCCAUCCUCAACAAUUCCAGUAUACUCUGGAUAAUAAUGUUCUAACCCUGGAACAGAGAAAAUUUUAUGAAGAAAAUGGGUUUCUAGUAAUCAAAAAUCUUGUACCUGAUGCUGAUAUUCAACGCUUUCGGUACAGUAACACUAUUUGUUAUUUUACAAAAGUAUGUAUUGUGUGCAUGUAAUGAGAAUACAAGGUGGAUUUGCUCCUGGCUUUACAGAUGUUUUUUAAUGAUUUGGUUUGUUGGGAAGUGUUUAGAAGCAUGGGCUCUGGUGCCAGACUGGCUUUUUAUUUUUUGUAGAGAAAGGGUCUCACUCUGUUGUGUAGGCUGGAGUGCAGUGGUGUGAUAAUAGCUUACUGCAGCCUCAAGUUCCUGGGCUCAAGCGAUCCUCCUGCCUCAG
Molecule: small RNA, 569 nt
Filed under: Pongo abelii (Sumatran orangutan)
Lineage: Eukaryota; Metazoa; Chordata; Mammalia; Primates; Hominidae
Description: retained intron
Source: RNAcentral